GAGUUUGAUCCUGGCUCAGGACGAACGCUGGCGGCGUGCCUAACACAUGCAAGUCGAACGGAGAUACGCGCUGAAUGGAUGGAGCUUGCUUUUGAAAUUCUUGUGUAUCUUAGUGGCGGACGGGUGAGUAACGCGUGAGCAACCUGCCUUUCAGAGGGGGAUAACGUUUGGAAACGAACGCUAAUACCGCAUGAGACCACGGUACCGCAUAGUACAGUGGCCAAAGGAGCAAUCCGCUGAAAGAUGGGCUCGCGUCCGAUUAGAUAGUUGGCGGGGUAACGGCCCACCAAGUCGACGAUCGGUAGCCGGACUGAGAGGUUGAACGGCCACAUUGGGACUGAGACACGGCCCAGACUCCUACGGGAGGCAGCAGUGAGGGAUAUUGGUCAAUGGGGGAAACCCUGAACCAGCAACGCCGCGUGAGGGAAGACGGUUUUCGGAUUGUAAACCUCUGUCCUCUGUGAAGAUAAUGACGGUAGCAGAGGAGGAAGCUCCGGCUAACUACGUGCCAGCAGCCGCGGUAAUACGUAGGGAGCGAGCGUUGUCCGGAUUUACUGGGUGUAAAGGGUGCGUAGGCGGCCCUGCAAGUCAGAAGUGAAAUCCAUGGGCUUAACCCGUGAACUGCU
Molecule: ribosomal RNA, 626 nt
Filed under: uncultured bacterium
Lineage: Bacteria
Description: bacterial SSU rRNA
Rfam family: Bacterial small subunit ribosomal RNA
Source: RNAcentral